Molecule: unclassified non-coding RNA, 137 nt
Filed under: uncultured Basidiodendron
Lineage: Eukaryota; Fungi; Basidiomycota; Agaricomycetes; Auriculariales; Exidiaceae
Description: sequence contains ITS1
Source: RNAcentral
GUGAAAUAUCGUCGGCUGUGCGCCUUUGGGCUGCACGCCGUCGCUCCACACAUUCGUGCACCUUCGAUGGGAGGGGGAGACCCCUCUUGUCGCUUCAUUAACUAGUCAGUCUUGAAUGUAAACAUAUCAUAAAAAUA